AAUACUGAAUCAAUACACAGAACUUUAUUG
RNAcentral lists this non-coding RNA (30 nucleotides) under Cricetulus griseus (Chinese hamster). Lineage: Eukaryota; Metazoa; Chordata; Mammalia; Rodentia; Cricetidae. The record is from RNAcentral.